Cucurbita moschata (crookneck pumpkin) is the source of this 1207-nucleotide RNA transcript. RefSeq lists it as uncharacterized. NCBI's taxonomy places the organism in Eukaryota, Viridiplantae, Streptophyta, Magnoliopsida, Cucurbitales, Cucurbitaceae. The transcript has 6 exons. The record is from RefSeq and is a predicted model, not a curated record.
AAAAAAAAAAAAAAAACGUUGGUUUAAUUGAAGAAUAAGAACAUUGAGAAGAAAUCAGGCAAUGGAACCGAAGCUGUCCCAUUCCCUCCGUUUUGCCUCCUUCACCAACUAACCAUCUCUCCGCAUAACAUCAAAUCUUCCCCCUUCCUCAUUGAUUUCGUUUCUCCAAUCCCAGAUUUUGAAUUUUCUCUUCAUAAUCCCAACAGUUUUUCCACUGCAACGCCCCGAUCUUCCUUUUCCUCAACCAUUCUCAUGAAUUUCCCCAUCAUUUCUGCUCUCGUUGCCUUCGCAAUCGCCCAGUCCAUCAAGUUCUUCACUACUUGGUAUAAGGAAAGGCGAUGGGAUUUUAAGAGACUAGUUGGAUCUGGUGGAAUGCCUUCAUCUCAUUCUUCAACUGUUUCUGCUCUUGCUGUAGCCAUUGGCCUUCAAGAAGGCUUUGGAGCUUCAGCUUUUGCUGUUGCAUUGAUCUUAGCCUGUGUUGUAAUGUACGAUGCAACUGGUGUAAGAUUACAAGCUGGGCGCCAAGCAGAGGUUUUAAAUCAAAUUGUUUACGAGCUUCCUGCUGAACAUCCUUUGGCUGAGAGCAGACCACUGCGAGAACUUCUUGGUCACACCCCUCCCCAGGUUGUAGCUGGAGGCUUACUUGGUAUUAUCACCUCUUCUAUUGGCCAUUUGAUAAUCAUAAUAACUAAGUCUUGAACAUUAUGAUGAUGAAAUAGAUGAAGCCGUAACCAGUCGGUAGCUCAAAUCUUGUCAUUAAUGAAGGCUGGUUGGUGGAAACUUCAGUGUCAGAUUAUUCUUGUGAAUACGGUCUUCUGCACAUAAAGCUCUGAUCACAGGCUUUUGAUUUGGUAGGUAACAUCACCAAAGUGUAUCAUCAGAUUUGACUAUGAAGAAAGACACUUGAAGUGAGACGGCACCAUCUUGUGCAAUGCAACAAGAAUUGGCCUUCUAUCAUUGGAAAAGAAAAUGUACAGGUGACCAUAUAUUUUCCCCCGAGUGCAAUACGUGCGAGUGAGAUUUCAAACAUCUGAGCACAUAUUCAUAAUAAUAGUACGUGUAUGAACAAAUAUCAAAUCUAAUUCUUCUGUGUAAGUAAGAAUCUUUAUUUUGAAGUUUGAAUGGUAUAAUGUUGAAUUCCUGUGGAAGUACAUUUCGUUCUGUAAUGUGCCCCAAGUUCCCAAUAAAAAUUAUUCGCCAAUGGCAA